ACUCCUACGGGAGGCAGCAGUGGGAAUUUUGGACAAUGGGCGCAAGCCUGAUCCAGCAAUACCGCGUGCAGGAAGAAGGCCUUCGGGUUGUAAACUGCUUUUGUACGGAACGAAAAGGUCUUGGUUAAUACCUGGGGCUCAUGACGGUACCGUAAGAAUAAGCACCGGCUAACUACGUGCCAGCAGCCGCGGUAAUACGUAGGGUGCGAGCGUUAAUCGGAGUUAUUGGGCGUAAAGGGUGCGUAGGUUGUUAUUUAAGUCAUGUGGGAAAUACCUGGGCUCAACCUGGGAAUGACGGAUGAUACUGAAUGACUAGAGUAUAGUAGAGGGUAGUGGAAUUUCCGGUGUAGCGGUGAAAUGCGUAGAGAUCGGAAGGAACACCAGUGGCGAAGGCGGCUACCUGGACUAAUACUGACACUGAGGCACGAAAGCGUGGGUAGCAAACAGGAUUAGAUACCCUGGUAGGU
RNAcentral lists this ribosomal RNA (467 nucleotides) under uncultured bacterium. RNAcentral's name for it is "bacterial SSU rRNA". It matches the Rfam family "Bacterial small subunit ribosomal RNA", at positions 335 to 794 of the family's 1533-position model. The record is from RNAcentral.